UAGCCAUGCAUGUCUCAGUAUAAGUCAUAUCAUGUCGAAACUGCGAAUGGCUCAUUAAAACAGUUUUAGUUUAUUUCGUUGUCGAUAGUUAUACGGAUAACUGUGGUAAUUCUAGAGCUAAUACGUGCUCAAAGACUCGACUUCUCGGAAGAGUCGUAUUUAUUAGCCCCAGAACCAUUUCCCUAUCGGGAUAUUGGAUGAUUCAUGAUAAACGUACGAAGCGUAUGGCUUGAGCCGACGCUGUGCGAUUCAAGAUUCUGACCUAUCAGCUUUCGACGGUAGGGUAUUGGCCUACCGUGGCAUUGACGGGUAACGGAGAAUUAGGGUUCGAUUCCGGAGAGGGAGCCCGAGAAACGGCUACCACAUCUAAGGAAGGCAGCAGGCGCGCAAAUUACCCAAUCCUGACAAAGGGAGGUAGUGACAAGAAAUAACAAAGCAGGCCUCUAUGAGGUUUUGCUAUUGGAAUGAGUAGAAUUUAAAUCUCUUUACGACUAUCAAUUGGAGGGCAAGUCUGGUGCCAGCAGCCGCGGUAAUUCCAGCUCCAAUAGCGUAUAUUAAAGUUGUUGCGGUUAAAAAGCUCGUAGUUGGAUUUCUGUCGAGGACGGGCGGUCCGUACUAUGUACGUGUAUCUGUUACGGCCUUGGCAUCCUCUUGGGGAACGUGUCUGUGCUUGAUUGCAUGGCGCGGUAUUCAAGACUUUUACUUUGAGGAAAUUAGAGUGUUCACGGCAAGCAUAAGCUUUGAAUACAUUAGCAUGGAAUAAUAAUAUAGGACCUGUUUUCUAUUUUGUUGGUUUCUAGAGAAUAGGUAAUGGUUAAUAGGGAUAAUUGGGGGCAUUCGUAUUAAGGCGUCAGAGGUGGAAUUCUUGGAUUGCCUUACGACGAACUACUGCGAAAGCAUUUGCCAAGGAUGUUUUCAUUGAUCAAGAACGAAAGUAUGGGGAUCGAAGACGAUUAGAUACCGUCGUAGUCUAUACCAUAAAC
RNAcentral lists this ribosomal RNA (983 nucleotides) under uncultured eukaryote. Its description in RNAcentral is "SSU rRNA". It matches the Rfam family "Eukaryotic small subunit ribosomal RNA", at positions 46 to 1037 of the family's 1831-position model. The record is from RNAcentral.